ACGCACGCUGGCGGCGUGCUUAACACAUGCAAGUCGAACGGUGAAGCUCCAGCUUGCUGGAGUGGAUCAGUGGCGAACGGGUGAGUAACACGUGAGCAACCUGCCCCUGACUCUGGAAUAAGCGCUGGAAACGGCGUCUAAUACUGGAUACGAGAAGGGCCCGCAUGGGCACUUUCUGGAAAGUUUUUCGGUUGGGGAUGGGCUCGCGGCCUAUCAGCUUGUUGGUGAGGUAAUGGCUCACCAAGGCGACGACGGGUAGCCGGCCUGAGAGGGCGACCGGCCACACUGGGACUGAGACACGGCCCAGACUCCUACGGGAGGCAGCAGUGGGGAAUAUUGCACAAUGGGCGAAAGCCUGAUGCAGCGACGCCGCGUGAGGGAUGACGGCCUUCGGGUUGUAAACCUCUUUCAGCAGGGAAGAAGCGAAAGUGACGGUACCUGCAGAAGAAGCACCGGCUAACUACGUG
This 467-nucleotide ribosomal RNA is filed under the name uncultured bacterium. Its description in RNAcentral is "partial 16S ribosomal RNA". It matches the Rfam family "Bacterial small subunit ribosomal RNA", at positions 29 to 507 of the family's 1533-position model. The record is from RNAcentral.